RNAcentral lists this ribosomal RNA (497 nucleotides) under uncultured bacterium. RNAcentral describes it as "partial 16S ribosomal RNA". It matches the Rfam family "Bacterial small subunit ribosomal RNA", at positions 28 to 507 of the family's 1533-position model. The record is from RNAcentral.
GAUGAACGCUGGCGGCGUGCCUAAUACAUGCAAGUCGAGCGAACAGAUGAGGAGCCUGCUCCUCUGACGUUAGCGGCGGACGGGUGAGUAACACGUGGAUAACCUACCUAUAAGACUGGGAUAACUUCGGGAAACCGGAGCUAAUACCGGAUAAUAUAUUGAACCGCAUGGUUCAAUAGUGGAAGACGGUUUUGCUGUCACUUAUAGAUGGAUCCGCGCCGCAUUAGCUAGUUGGUAAGGUAACGGCUUACCAAGGCAACGAUGCGUAGCCGACCUGAGAGGGUGAUCGGCCACACUGGAACUGAGACACGGUCCAGACUCCUACGGGAGGCAGCAGUAGGGAAUCUUCCGCAAUGGGCGAAAGCCUGACGGAGCAACGCCGCGUGAGUGAUGAAGGUCUUCGGAUCGUAAAACUCUGUUAUUAGGGAAGAACAAAUGUGUAAGUAACUAUGCACGUCUUGACGGUACCUAAUCAGAAAGCCACGGCUAACUACGUG